GGGAGAAAGGUCACUGUUGGUUGUGUGUCGGCAGACUGUAAAUCUGUUCCCUUGUGGUAAACAUCGGAGGUUCAAUUCCUCCUUCUCCCA
RNAcentral lists this transfer RNA (90 nucleotides) under Mediterraneibacter hominis. It matches the Rfam family "tRNA". Rfam says of the family: Transfer RNA (tRNA) molecules are approximately 80 nucleotides in length. The record is from Rfam by way of RNAcentral. Lineage: Bacteria; Bacillati; Bacillota; Clostridia; Lachnospirales; Lachnospiraceae.